CAGGAGGCUGAGAGUUGUGCCAAAAGACUGAUGGGUCCCUUGCACCUCAGGAGACCCACUGUGGAGCUGAAGGAGUUGAGUGGUAGAUGAAGAUGCCCUUCCCCGAGCCCUGUGGAGACCAGGCGGUGACAACGUGAGGGCUGCGGGCCCCGGUGCGGCCAGCUCUGAUGUGUGAUGGCAGAGCACCACAUUCUGGGAUACCUUCAGGGAGCCGUGGCCAUACAGCCAGGAGGACCGCCUGGAGCUGGGAAUGAGCCCCAUGCAGGACCUGCUGCUCUCUUUCACUGCUGGACGUGGGAAUGCCUUCCUGCCCAAAGCCAAUGGCCCAGGGGCUGUGCUUCACAUCUCAGAGGCAGGCACGCCAGCCUGCAGCAACAGCCAGAUGUGGGCAUAUUCUUGUCAAAGGAGGCAUCUGCCAGGAGGCCAGGUAACACUAGUGUGUGGAGAGUGAGUAAGAGCGAGAAAGCAUGUGAGAGCCAGAGAGCGAGCACCAGAGGCAACGUCAGCCUGGAUUUGGGUUUGAUGGUGUGGGUUUGAUUGUGCGCUCCUACCAACCCUACCAUAGCAUAGUGCUUUCAUACUGCAGCUCACAGGAGAGUGGUGUUCCCAUCCCAGUCUCGGGACUCCAGGGACCUCAGCAUCCAGGAAAAAUCUUUUUUCCCAUUCCCCAUAUGGGGGCAUUACCCAGCUGGUCCCCACUUGGUCCUGCCUGGCCCCCUGUGCACAGGGCCUACUUGUUAAGCUCCUUGGCACUGCAUCAUCACUACAUGGCCCCUCUACAUGGCCAUCACUACUGGCCUCUCCUCUUCUAGGGCCUUCUCUAAAUCCCUUGGAAAUCAAAGGCAAGACCCAACCCCAUGGAUUCAGUGAUCUGUAGAUCAGCUGCUACGGUAAGAAACGGGGUGUGUUGUACAGAUCAAAAUACUAAGCUCUGCAGUUGCAGGCUGGGGCAGCUACAAAAGUACUUAAACCAGUGUCUGAACCCUCCAGUGCAGCUGGGAAUGAAUGAACGAGCACGCAGCAACCUGGUGCCAGCCCCAUCCUGUGCACUAUGAAGGCUCCUUCAUGACCUGUGCUCUUGCAAACAGCUUCAGCAAGCUCUGUAACUAGUUACACAUGGUGUACAUGUGUAACAUUACACCAUCUAGUAACCCCAGAUGGUGCCCGGGGGAACAGGGCCUCCCCCAAUUCUCGCUGGUCCCCCCUGGUGA
Alligator sinensis (Chinese alligator) is the source of this 1211-nucleotide long non-coding RNA. RefSeq lists it as uncharacterized. NCBI's taxonomy places the organism in Eukaryota, Metazoa, Chordata, Crocodylia, Alligatoridae. The transcript has 3 exons. The record is from RefSeq and is a predicted model, not a curated record.